GAUGAACGCUGGCGGCGUGCCUAAUACAUGCAAGUCGAGCGAACGGACGAGAAGCUUGCUUCUCUGAUGUUAGCGGCGGACGGGUGAGUAACACGUGGAUAACCUACCUAUAAGACUGGGAUAACUUCGGGAAACCGGAGCUAAUACCGGAUAAUAUUUUGAACCGCAUGGUUCAAAAGUGAAAGACGGUCUUGCUGUCACUUAUAGAUGGAUCCGCGCUGCAUUAGCUAGUUGGUAAGGUAACGGCUUACCAAGGCAACGAUGCAUAGCCGACCUGAGAGGGUGAUCGGCCACACUGGAACUGAGACACGGUCCAGACCCCUAAGGGAGGCAGCAGUAGGGAAUCUUCCGCAAUGGGCGAAAGCCUGACGGAGCAACGCCGCGUGAGUGAUGAAGGUCUUCGGAUCGUAAAACUCUGUUAUUAGGGAAGAACAUAUGUGUAAGUAACUGUGCACAUCUUGACGGUACCUAAUCAGAAAGCCACGGCUAACUACGUG
RNAcentral lists this ribosomal RNA (497 nucleotides) under uncultured bacterium. RNAcentral's name for it is "partial 16S ribosomal RNA". It matches the Rfam family "Bacterial small subunit ribosomal RNA", at positions 28 to 507 of the family's 1533-position model. The record is from RNAcentral.